RNAcentral lists this ribosomal RNA (252 nucleotides) under uncultured bacterium. RNAcentral's name for it is "partial 16S ribosomal RNA". It matches the Rfam family "Bacterial small subunit ribosomal RNA", at positions 524 to 776 of the family's 1533-position model. The record is from RNAcentral.
UACGGAGGAUGCGAGCGUUAUCCGGAUUUAUUGGGUUUAAAGGGUGCGUAGGCGGGAUGCCAAGUCAGCGGUGAAAAUGCGGUGCUCAACGCCGUCGAGCCGUUGAAACUGGCGUUCUUGAGUGGGCGAGAAGUAUGCGGAAUGCGUGGUGUAGCGGUGAAAUGCAUAGAUAUAUGGAGGAACACCGGUGGCGAAAGCGGCUCUCUGGCCUGUAACUGACACUGAGGCUCGAAAGCGUGAGGAGCAAACAGG